GAAGAUUACAUUUUCUCAAAUCUUUACUCACUUUUAAAUCGUCUUGGCUGAAGAGUGGAAGCAAGUUCGGUGAAUAAUUUACGUUUUUAUUUGAUUCGAAGUUUUUUGAUUAAUUUUUCACGCGGAACAAAGGCUCUGCUCUCGAGCAAUUAUUUAUCGUACAAAAGCAGCGUCCGAUUGACGCUUUUUGUACGGGCUAAAAAGCUCUACGGCCUUUUUCGGCCAUUACUACUCCACGAGGUGGACAUCUGGACCGUGCAGGCCCGCCAUUACGGUAGCCAAACGGGUAUAGAGGCCCUCCGACCUGCCGAGAAUCCGGAGAAGGUUCAUUUCGUCACGGUGGUCGCGUAGUCCCGAAGGCGAAGACCAGUUGGAGGCACGUUGGCCUUCUA
Molecule: long non-coding RNA, 392 nt
Organism: Aedes aegypti (yellow fever mosquito)
Lineage: Eukaryota; Metazoa; Arthropoda; Insecta; Diptera; Culicidae
Exons: 3
Source: RefSeq, a predicted model, not a curated record